UAGCCGGUCUAGACAAUUUUGACGGCUGCCAUGCUGAGAUAGUACAGCUAGGCAACUAAUAGGUAAUCCAUACCAGUGUGUCUGAUGUAUGUGAGAAGGAUCUUGACAAAAUUUCCAGUAAGUAUGUGGAGUCCAGAUGAGAUCUGGCUGAUCCCGUGUCAAAAGGCCUUGGCAAGGAAAAAACCAGAGCAUAGUAAGUUGUCUUGUACUUUACGGUUACCCAACCUGUUCUCCUAGGAAAAAUAAGAAAUAUAAGCACAUGAAUUAAUUUUAAUUCUUCCAUACCUAUGGUCUAUGUGCUUAUUCCAGCAUUUAAGUUCUAUUAAUGAAUCCCGGAGGAGGAGAAAUAAACCUGAUAGAUUCACCGAUCUGAGUGUGGUAUUUCAAUUCCUAUAGGAUUUGGACUUUAAUCCUUAGAGCACUCAGGGGAUCCUAGGCACAUGGCCGUAAGGUGCCGAUAUCUAUACUUUAGUGGGUGUGUCAUUUCUGCUUUGUCAACAUGCUUCUUAGAAAAAGACCUUGUUCACCUAGUCUUAGGAAGCUCCAUUCUUUAGAGGUAAAUAUGAUGAUGUUGAAAUAGCAGAUUAUAUAAGCAUUACUUCAGCCUGGCAAAACUGGCUUGUUUGUGUAAUAGCUUUUCCUGCCCUACGACUAGUAGGUAACUCACUACCUUUAUGGAGUAAGAAUCAUUCCUGCUUCCAGACUUAACCUUCGCCUGCACAGAAAUUCUAGGAACUUAACUGAGACCUGGUUAAGGGAAGAAGGUUUAUCAUCCUGUUGUUGCCAUAUCUGUUGCCGCUGUUCUCUUUGCAAUUUAAUUUAAUGUGGGAAUAACUGAAAUAACCGUUGUUCAAAUAGCCGUAAGCGGUGGUGGUGAAGUCAGUUAAUCAGACUCGGUUGUGCUAGAAUCUGCUGUGGGACUUGAGCUUGUGGCAUAUCGAUAAUAUGAGUAUGCAUCGAUAAAUAUAACUUUCGAUUUCAUGUCCAGAUGAAAUGCAAUUUCCAACUAAUGGCACUACUUCCUCAAUAGGAAAUUUACUUCUAAGCUGGCUUAAGAUAAUCCUGUUCUUGCAAUAACAGGUCUUUCCGGUGAGUGAAUAAGAGCUCUUCGUAACCGCAGCUAAAGGCUUAGCCUAGCCAGCAAGCAAAUGACAUAUAGAAAUAGUAGGCAUCGCAUGCCCUUGCCUUUUUGCUUUUCUUACCUUCUUUUCUUCCUUUAAAGCAACUGACAUCCAUGUAGAAGAAGGUUCACAGGUGGACAAAGAAAGAGGGCUGUCCCUUGGUUGGCGGCUUGGCUUCGCUAUCGCUCAUGACUUGGUAUAGAGUCCGUGUAGUCGGUGAGUACGAGUACAGCCUAUGAAACAGGCUUUGAGUUCCAUUACAUUGCAAAAAAGAAUUACCGCCACUCUCCCUUCCAGUGAACCCCACGUGUCUGCCUCCGGCUUCGAAGCUGUGGGGAAGAAAA
This 1465-nucleotide long non-coding RNA is filed under the name Trifolium pratense (red clover). Its description in RNAcentral is "long non-coding RNA (TPRA_LNC005730)". Lineage: Eukaryota; Viridiplantae; Streptophyta; Magnoliopsida; Fabales; Fabaceae. The record is from RNAcentral.